This 198-nucleotide ribosomal RNA is filed under the name uncultured bacterium. RNAcentral describes it as "partial 16S ribosomal RNA". It matches the Rfam family "Bacterial small subunit ribosomal RNA", at positions 328 to 539 of the family's 1533-position model. The record is from RNAcentral.
ACGCUCGACACCUACGGGGGGCAGCAGUCGGGAAUAUUGCGCAAUGGAGGAAACUCUGACGCAGUGACGCCGCGUGCAGGAAGAAGGUUUUCGGAUUGUAAACUGCUUUAGACAGGGAAGAAAAAAGACAGUACCUGUAGAAUAAGCUCCGGCUAACUACGUGCCACAGCCGCGGUAAUCUGAGCGGGCUGGCAAGGC